UAUCUUCUAGCGCUGAUAGACUGGGAGCCAGCCGGCGCGCAGUGAGGAGGAAGUAGACCUGGCUGAUCUUCCAAGGCCUCCUAGCUUUCGGGCACGGAGAUCGAAGUCUACCCCAAGUCUCCCAGGUUUUCUCUUCCUGUGAUCACCUGGAGCCCAGCACGGUGAUUCUUUUGGUGAAAACAUUUCGGAGUUCCGUGGUCCGUGGCAGGUGUCUAUUCUAGUUUGUCCUCAACACAGUAGCAAAAUAGUUAUGUAAACAGAUUUCGACACAGUGCAAUGGCUGCAACAAAAAGUAGCAUUAUGAGGUUGGAUGUAAAAAGGUAGCAUUAACGACGACGGAAGUUGGAGUUUCCUGCCGGCGGCCACUAACAAACGUCCUUGAACACCAGCUGCGUUAGAGGCUCAGUGCCCGGAGCCAGAACCUUGGCAAUUACAGAAUGAAAAGCAGCCACUGAAGACAGAAGAGACACGGCUAGUGUUUCCUUAACCCAAGAACACAGAGUAAGAAGAGUUGCCUAUCAAGGUUCCUCUCUGCAGAACAGAUUCCCCACUAUAUCAGAAAGAUGUCAAAGAAAGGUUGGAAGACACAGAUAACAUAGUGGUUGAUGGAGGUAAAAUAUUAGAGAAAAAAAAGGGGGGGGGGUCAGGUCUUGAAUAAGACCAUAGGGCUGUACCACAUGAUACUAAGGCACAAUCAUAAGCAAAAAUAGAUGAGGGACAAGCCCAAAAUAGUCUGUGUCAUUAGAUGUGAACAGGAACAUCAAGGCCUAAGUUUUUUUCUGAGGGAAAUAAAUGUAUAAUAUAGUCUCUUUUGUUUAUUAAAUCUAUUUGCUGGAGGCAGGGUGUGUUUGUGAUGUGUAUAUGCCACUGGUCAAAAGACAACUUUCAAAAUCCUUUUUUUUUUUGACCCAGAGAUCAAACCCAGAUUGUCAGGAUUCAUGGCAAGUCUUUUCCUGCUGAGCCAUCUUGUUGGCCUCAAAAGCUUAGUUCUUGACAUUUAACAUUUUAAUUCUUGUUAUUUAAUUGUAUUAGGUCACAAAGAUAGACAUGCAUCAUUUUAAAGAUUUAUUUACUUAUUUUAUGUAUGUGAGUACACUGUCGCUCUCUUCAGACACACCAGAAGGGAGCAUCAGAUCCCAUUACAGAUGGUUGUGAGCCAUCAUGUGGUAGCUGGGAAUUGAACUCAGGACCUCUGGAAGAGAAGUCAGUGCUCUUAACUGUUGAGCCAUCUCUCCAGCCCCGACAUGCAUGCAUCAUUUUAAAUGCUUCAAACCCAAUUCCUCAAGUAACCAUUAGUUCUCUUUUCCUUCUCCAAACUUAGUCUCAUAAAAGAGUCUAAAGUACCCGCUCCUCAUUUUCUACCAACUAUCCUUCAGACUCGGAACUUUUGUUUUUGAGACAGGGUCUUACUGUGCAGCCCAGACUAGUCUACAACUUACUAUGUAGCCAAGAUGGUUUGGAUUCUGGUGUGAUCUUUCCUGCCCCAGCCCUCUCAGUGCUGACACUACAAAUGUGAGCAACCACGCUCAACCAAACCUGUGUAAACUCCCAACGACCAAAAGAACGAGUUCACUCUACUUUUAUGUUCUUGCAAACCUAUAGCAAUGCUACUUAGUUUAAAUCUGUUCAAUAAACCAAAUGUAUUUUGAAAACAAAAACAAAGUUUAAAAAUAAUGCCUACUGAUAGUAAUAAAUGAUUAUU
Long non-coding RNA from Apodemus sylvaticus (European woodmouse), 1702 nucleotides. RefSeq lists it as uncharacterized. The record is from RefSeq and is a predicted model, not a curated record. Lineage: Eukaryota; Metazoa; Chordata; Mammalia; Rodentia; Muridae. The transcript is spliced from 3 exons.